Molecule: long non-coding RNA, 334 nt
Filed under: Populus trichocarpa (black cottonwood)
Lineage: Eukaryota; Viridiplantae; Streptophyta; Magnoliopsida; Malpighiales; Salicaceae
Description: long non-coding RNA (PTRI_LNC004428)
Source: RNAcentral
UAUCAAUUCAAAAUAAAUUUGGGAAUAAAAAAUGCUUACCUUAAUAAUGUGUUGAAUUUAAGAUUUUAUCUACAAACAAUAUACAAAACAAAGAACACCAAAAAAAAUAAUCAUAAUUAAAAUAAAAAAAAUACAAAGAUAAAGAAAAAAAAAUACAUACCUUUUAAAACUAAAUGAGAGAAGAAGAGAAAGGGAGAAGAGAAAGGGAGAAGAGGAGAAGAGAAGUGAAAGGGAGAAGAGGGGGAGAAGAGGAGAAGAGAAAGAGAGAAGAGGAAGGGAGAAGAGGGGGAGAAGAGGAGAAGCGGAGAAGAGGGAGGAGAAAAGGAGAGAAGAG